AGGGACCUGGCUAUCCAGUGAGUGAUUGUGAGGUUGGGAACCCGGGGGCCGCGGGGCAACAGACCUCUAACUCGCUACUCUUCCAGUAGGUGUCCGGAGGUUGCACAGUAGUGCAGUGGCGCGGGCCGGCAGCCAGUGGCGACUCCAGCAAGGGCUGGCUGCCAAUCCUUCCGGCUAUGGGCCCCUCACGGAGCUUCCUGACUGGUCUUUCGCGGAUGGCCGCCCUGCUCCCCCAAUGAAAGGCCAACUUCGAAGAGAAGCUCAAAGGGAGAAGCUUGCAAGACGAGUUGUGCUGCUGACACAGGAAAUGGAUGCAGGAUUACAGGCAUGGAAGCUCAGGCAGCAGAAACUGCAGGAAGAAAGGAAGCAGAAACAUGACCUUAAACCUAAAGGGACGUCACUGAGGAACCCACUUCCAAAUCAAUAAAAAGCUCCUGUCCCACUUUC
RNAcentral lists this long non-coding RNA (447 nucleotides) under Rattus norvegicus (Norway rat). RNAcentral describes it as "long non-coding RNA NONRATT010399". The record is from RNAcentral. Lineage: Eukaryota; Metazoa; Chordata; Mammalia; Rodentia; Muridae.